UCGUGAGACAGUUCGGUCUCUAUCUAUCGUGGGCGCGGGAGUUUUGCGUGGUGCCGUCACUAGUACGAGAGGACCGUGAUGGACAGACCUCCGGUUUACCAGUUGUGCCGCCAGGUGCACCGCUGGGUAUCUGAGUCUGGAAUGGAUAAGCGCUGAAAGCAUCUAAGUGCGAAGCCAGCCGCAAGAUGAGAACUCCAUUGAGGGUCGUUGUAGACGACGACGUUGAUAGGGUGCAGGUGUAAAGACAGCGAUGUCAAAGCCGAGCACUACUAAUUGCCCGAAACUUUCUUCUUUU
RNAcentral lists this ribosomal RNA (295 nucleotides) under Segatella salivae. Its description in RNAcentral is "partial 23S ribosomal RNA". It matches the Rfam family "Bacterial large subunit ribosomal RNA", at positions 2619 to 2925 of the family's 2925-position model. The record is from RNAcentral. Lineage: Bacteria; Pseudomonadati; Bacteroidota; Bacteroidia; Bacteroidales; Prevotellaceae.